RNAcentral lists this ribosomal RNA (468 nucleotides) under uncultured bacterium. RNAcentral's name for it is "partial 16S ribosomal RNA". It matches the Rfam family "Bacterial small subunit ribosomal RNA", at positions 28 to 507 of the family's 1533-position model. The record is from RNAcentral.
GACGAACGCUGGCGGCGUGCUUAACACAUGCAAGUCGAACGGUGAUGCUCCAGCUUGCUGGAGUGGAUCAGUGGCGAACGGGUGAGUAACACGUGAGCAACCUGCCCCAGACUCUGGAAUAAGCGCUGGAAACGGCGGCUAAUACUGGAUACGAAACUGGCCCGCAUGGGCAUGGUUUGGAAAGUUUUUCGGUUUGGGAUGGGCUCGCGGCCUAUCAGCUUGUUGGUGAGGUAAUGGCUCACCAAGGCGACGACGGGUAGCCGGCCUGAGAGGGCGACCGGCCACACUGGGACUGAGACACGGCCCAGACUCCUACGGGAGGCAGCAGUGGGGAAUAUUGCACAAUGGGCGAAAGCCUGAUGCAGCGACGCCGCGUGAGGGAUGACGGCCUUCGGGUUGUAAACCUCUUUCAGCAGGGAAGAAGCGAAAGUGACGGUACCUGCAGAAGAAGCACCGGCUAACUACGUG